Molecule: ribosomal RNA, 429 nt
Filed under: Bacteroidota bacterium
Lineage: Bacteria; Pseudomonadati; Bacteroidota
Description: Bacteroidetes bacterium partial 16S ribosomal RNA
Rfam family: Bacterial small subunit ribosomal RNA
Source: RNAcentral
UAGGGAAUCUUCCGCAAUGGAUGCAAGUCUGACGGAGCAACGCCGCGCGAGUGAAGAAGGAUUUCGGUUCGUAAAACUCUGUUGUUAGAGAAGAACAGCGCAUAGAGUAACUGUUAUGCGUGUGACGGUAUCUACCCAGAAAGCCACGGCUAACUACGUGCCAGCAGCCGCGGUAAUACGUAGGUGGCAAGCGUUGUCCGGAUUUAUUGGGCGUAAAGCGAGCGCAGGCGGUCAAUUAAGUCUGAUGUGAAAGCCCGCGGCUCAACCGGGGAGGGUCAUUGGAAACUGGUUAACUUGGGUGCAGAAGAGGAGAGGGGAAUUCCAUGUGUAGCGGUGACAUGCGUAGACAUAUGAAGGAACACCAGUGGGGAAGGCGACUCUCUGGUCUGUAAAUGACGCAGAGGCUCGAAAGCGUGGGUAGCAAACAGG